GAUGAACGCUGGCGGCGUGCCUAAUACAUGCAAGUCGAGCGAACGGACGAGAAGCUUGCUUCUCUGCUGUUAGCGGCGGACGGGCGAGUAACAAGUAGAUCACCUACUUAUAAGACUGGGAUAACUUCGGGAAACCGGAGCUAAUAACGGAUGAUAUUUUGUACCGCUUGGUUCAAAAGUGCAUGACGGUCUUGCCGUCUCUUUUAGAUGGAUUCGGGCUGCCUUAGCUAGUUGGUAAGGUAACGGCUUACCAAGGCAACGAUGCAUAGCCGAGCUGAGAGGGUGAUCGGCCACACUGGAACUGAGACACGGUCCAGACUCCUACGGGAGGCAGCAGUAGGGAAUCUUCCGCAAUGGGCGAAAGCCUGACGGAGCAACGCCGCGUGAGUGAUGAAGGUCUUCGGAUCGUAAAACUCUGUUAUUAGGGAAGAACAUAUGUGUAAGUAACUGUGCACGUCUUGACGGUACCUAAUCAGAAAGCCACGGCUAACUACGUG
This 497-nucleotide ribosomal RNA is filed under the name uncultured bacterium. Its description in RNAcentral is "partial 16S ribosomal RNA". It matches the Rfam family "Bacterial small subunit ribosomal RNA", at positions 28 to 507 of the family's 1533-position model. The record is from RNAcentral.